RNAcentral lists this long non-coding RNA (512 nucleotides) under Mus pahari (shrew mouse). Its description in RNAcentral is "lncRNA (MGP_PahariEiJ_G0032870.1)". The record is from RNAcentral. Lineage: Eukaryota; Metazoa; Chordata; Mammalia; Rodentia; Muridae.
GUUGAGAUGGACAAUGGUAGCUCUGUUGAAAGGCUGAGGCUGGGCUCUGAAAGAGCGCAUUUUAAUUGAGCACUUUCCACCCUGAGAUCCGUGGGGAUCUGGUGGCCCACUCCUCGCCUAGUCAUUUUUGUCUUUGCAGCUUCAGAACCAAGUUAUUGAAACCCCUUGUUCCCUUUCCAGCCUGGGCUGGUUUGUUCCGCAAUGGUGGUUUCAGUGGGUCUCAUUGACCCCUCUGCAUAAGGAGAGCUCCUUUUUGUUAAAGGCCUACUGCAUGCCGAGCACGGGAACUUACAUUUGAUGAAGGCCUGCAUGCUCGGUUCUCUCAUUUAGAGACUUGGCUCUCUUUUGUUGAUUUUUCUUCCUUGUUGUCCUAGGCCCAAACCAAAUAAGAACAUGCAUGUCUCGAGGAACAGCCUUUCCCAUGGUCAAGCUCAGCGUGCCUUCUGCCAGGCCUGUCCCCUUACCACCAUCUCCAUUGGAUUCAUCUGUACAAAACACACUUGCCACUAGUC